Molecule: long non-coding RNA, 344 nt
Organism: Saccostrea cuccullata (small rock oyster)
Lineage: Eukaryota; Metazoa; Mollusca; Bivalvia; Ostreida; Ostreidae
Exons: 3
Source: RefSeq, a predicted model, not a curated record
UGCAUCGAAACGUCACAAACCAGACACGGUUUACGUACAGAUACAGAAAUUAGGACCAAGAGAAACUUUCGGUGUUGAACAAGUUGCCUUUGGUCGCAUUGGGAAAACUACCAGCACUAUUCUGGUUUCUGAUGGAGCAGAAUGCAUCUUAAUCAAUAGGAAGUUUUUCCAACAAUAUUUAACUGAUGAAGAGGCAAAAAGAAUACGGAGAACGCUUCAACCAAUACCUUCUGAGGAAAGCCUGCAGCGGAAAUUACAGGACAGCACAAAUUGGGAAGCAUACAAAGCGCUCACUGUAGUCAACCACAAGGUUCACCAGAAAACCCACAAUGACGCCCACUUCU